AACGAGCGCUGGCGGCGUGCUUAACACAUGCAAGUCGAGCGGUAAGGCCCUUUCGGGGGUACACGAGCGGCGAACGGGUGAGUAACACGUGGGUGACCUGCCCUUAGCUCUGGGAUAAGCCUGGGAAACUGGGUCUAAUACCGGAUACGACUCCGCGGUGCAUGCUGUGGGGUGGAAAGCCUUGUGCGGCUGGAGAUGGGCCCGCGGCCUAUCAGCUUGUUGGUGGGGUGAUGGCCACCAAGGCGACGACGGGUAGCCGGCCUGAGAGGGCGACCGGCCACACUGGGACUGAGACACGGCCCAGACUCCUACGGGAGGCAGCAGUGGGGAAUCUUGCGCAAUGGGCGAAAGCCUGACGCAGCGACGCCGCGUGAGGGAUGACGGCCU
Molecule: ribosomal RNA, 387 nt
Filed under: uncultured bacterium
Lineage: Bacteria
Description: bacterial SSU rRNA
Rfam family: Bacterial small subunit ribosomal RNA
Source: RNAcentral